This 461-nucleotide ribosomal RNA is filed under the name uncultured Sulfuricurvum sp. Its description in RNAcentral is "bacterial SSU rRNA". It matches the Rfam family "Bacterial small subunit ribosomal RNA", at positions 923 to 1382 of the family's 1533-position model. Lineage: Bacteria; Pseudomonadati; Campylobacterota; Epsilonproteobacteria; Campylobacterales; Sulfurimonadaceae. The record is from RNAcentral.
GCACAAGUGGUGGAGCAUGUGGUUUAAUUCGAAGAUACACGAAGAACCUUACCUGGCCUUGACAUGGUAGGAACCCUGUAGAGAUACGGGGUGCUAGCUUGCUAGAGCCUACACACAGGUGCUGCACGGCUGUCGUCAGCUCGUGUCGUGAGAUGUUGGGUUAAGUCCCGCAACGAGCGCAACCCUCGUCCUUAGUUGCUAACGGUUCGGCCGAGCACUCUAGGGAGACUGCCUUCGCAAGGAGGAGGAAGGUGAGGACGACGUCAAGUCAUCAUGGCCCUUACGGCCAGGGCUACACACGUGCUACAAUGGGGCGUACAGAGAGCUGCGAUACCGCGAGGUGGAGCCAAUCUCUUAAAGCCAAUCUCAGUUCGGAUUGUAGGCUGCAACUCGCCUACAUGAAGUCGGAAUCGCUAGUAAUCGCGGAUCAGCACGCCGCGGUGAAUACGUUCCCGGGCCUU